GCCGCCGCCGCCGCCGCCGCCGCCGCCGCCGCCGCGUGUUUGGCUUGCGGUUUCUAAACCUAGAAAGAUCCCUGACUGGAGUUGUCCCUAGCCCUUGGGUUGUGCUGCUCCCCCGCCUUCUGACAGGCAGCUGCAGGUGGGCUGCUCGGACACAAACUGCAGCUUAGGUACACGGUCCUUGGAGUUUCCCUGCAGCCUUUUGGAAAGGGAAGGAGCACUUACUAAAUUCACUGGGAAGUGACAGAGAGCCUUUCCUUGGCCAGGUUGGACAGGUGCUUCUGCCCUCUUCUCAACUAGUUCUCAACCUUGGCCUCUAAAGACUUAGGCACUAAGAUGGUUUUGAACAUCACGUCGGCGUCGCUAGGAUGACUCCAGCUCCACUUAGAAUGCCUGCCUGACAAAGCUCAAGGUGCCGGGGGAAUCUAGCAUUUGUUCAGCCAACGCCAGAAGAGAGUCUCUGCUCCUCAAUGUCUCUAGGAGAAGAGGAGCAUAACUUCCAGAAACUCUGCUUAAUGUCCCCAGGUGGAGUGGGGAACACAGACCUGGUUCCUGUCUUCAAGCAACUCAGGAUCUAAUCUGCAGACAAGACAGGGAUUCAUCCAAAAGAUGCUGGGGUUGUUUUCCUGUCCUGGUGACUGUGACUCUGUUGUGAACAUAGAGGUGCAUGUGAUCGUCAAGCGAGUGUUUUAGAUAAAUCGCCAGAAGUGGAAUCGCUGGGUCCUACGGUAGUUCUGACUUUAAUUUUUCGAGGAAUCUCAUGCUGUUUUCCACUGUGGCUGCACCAGUAAUGUUCCUUUUUCUCCACAUCCUCUCCAACGUUUGUUGCUUGUGUGUGUGUGUGUGUGUGUGUCUGUUUAUAUAGUAACCAUUCUCUAAGGGAUGAGGUGAAAUAUUACUGUGGUUUGGGUUUGUAGUUCCAUUAGUGUGGUUGAACCUCUUUUCAUAUACCUGUUGGCCAUUUUCUGUUUUCUUUGGGAAAACGUCUAUUCAGAUCCUAGGCCCGUGGUUUUUUUUUU
Molecule: long non-coding RNA, 1016 nt
Organism: Phacochoerus africanus (Common warthog)
Lineage: Eukaryota; Metazoa; Chordata; Mammalia; Artiodactyla; Suidae
Exons: 3
Source: RefSeq, a predicted model, not a curated record